Molecule: ribosomal RNA, 253 nt
Filed under: uncultured bacterium
Lineage: Bacteria
Description: partial 16S ribosomal RNA
Rfam family: Bacterial small subunit ribosomal RNA
Source: RNAcentral
UACGUAGGGGGCAAGCGUUGUCCGGAUUUAUUGGGCGUAAAGAGCGUGUAGGCGGCUAGAUAGGUCCGUUGUGAAAACUCGAGGCUCAACCUCGAGACGUCGAUGGAAACCAUCUGGCUAGAGUCCGGAAGAGGAGAGUGGAAUUCCUGGUGUAGCGGUGAAAUUCGUAGAUAUCUGCAGGAACACCCGUGGCGAAAGCGGCGAGCUGGACCACUACUGACGCUGAAGAACGAAAGCUAGGGGAGCAAACAGG